Molecule: ribosomal RNA, 616 nt
Filed under: Candida tropicalis
Lineage: Eukaryota; Fungi; Ascomycota; Pichiomycetes; Serinales; Debaryomycetaceae
Description: eukaryotic LSU rRNA
Rfam family: Eukaryotic large subunit ribosomal RNA
Source: RNAcentral
UUGCAUAUCAAAAAGCGGAGGAAAAGAAACCAACAGGGAUUGCCUUAGUAGCGGCGAGUGAAGCGGCAAAAGCUCAAAUUUGAAAUCUGGCUCUUUCAGAGUCCGAGUUGUAAUUUGAAGAAGGUAUCUUUGGGUCUGGCUCUUGUCUAUGUUUCUUGGAACAGAACGUCACAGAGGGUGAGAAUCCCGUGCGAUGAGAUGAUCCAGGCCUAUGUAAAGUUCCUUCGAAGAGUCGAGUUGUUUGGGAAUGCAGCUCUAAGUGGGUGGUAAAUUCCAUCUAAAGCUAAAUAUUGGCGAGAGACCGAUAGCGAACAAGUACAGUGAUGGAAAGAUGAAAAGAACUUUGAAAAGAGAGUGAAAAAGUACGUGAAAUUGUUGAAAGGGAAGGGCUUGAGAUCAGACUUGGUAUUUUGUAUGUUACUUCUUCGGGGGUGGCCUCUACAGUUUAUCGGGCCAGCAUCAGUUUGGGCGGUAGGAGAAUUGCGUUGGAAUGUGGCACGGCUUCGGUUGUGUGUUAUAGCCUUCGUCGAUACUGCCAGCCUAGACUGAGGACUGCGGUUUAUACCUAGGAUGUUGGCAUAAUGAUCUUAAGUCGCCCGUCUUGAAACCACGGACC